AAUAAGUGCAGCCAUGAAUUUCCGCGUUCAACUUUGAUCGUUCGUCUUAUUUGAAAUUAUUUUAUAAUUAGCAUUUUUGUUGUUAUGAGAUAAUAAAACAUGAAUAGUACUUUACUCGUGACUUAUGUUUUUAAUUUUUUUAAAAAAAAUUCAAAUAAGACGAACGGUCAAAGUUGGGCGCGGAAAACCAUGACUGUAAUUAUU
Oryza sativa Indica Group (long-grained rice) is the source of this 204-nucleotide microRNA precursor. It matches the Rfam family "MIR812 microRNA precursor family". The record is from Rfam. Lineage: Eukaryota; Viridiplantae; Streptophyta; Magnoliopsida; Poales; Poaceae.